This is a small nuclear RNA of Hibiscus syriacus, 107 nucleotides long. NCBI's taxonomy places the organism in Eukaryota, Viridiplantae, Streptophyta, Magnoliopsida, Malvales, Malvaceae. The record is from RefSeq and is a predicted model, not a curated record.
UUAAGUAUAGAAACUUACGAGCUCCGAAAUUGGAUCGAUGCAGAGAAGAUUAGCAUGGCUCCUGCGCAAGGGUGACAUUCACAAUUCGAGAAAUGAUCUAAAUUAUU